Molecule: ribosomal RNA, 916 nt
Filed under: uncultured archaeon
Lineage: Archaea
Description: bacterial SSU rRNA
Rfam family: Archaeal small subunit ribosomal RNA
Source: RNAcentral
UUCCGGUUGAUCCUGCCGGAGGUCACUGCUAUUGGGAUUCGACUAAGCCAUGCGAGUCGAGAGGGUUCGGCCCUCGGCUGACUGCUCAGUAACACGUGGAUAAUCUGCCCUUAGGUGGAGGAUACUCUCGGGAAACUGAGAAUAAUACUCCAUAGGUCUAAGAUGCUGGAAUGCACUUAGGCUGAAAGUUCCGGCGCCUAAGGAUGAGUCUGCGGACUAUCAGGUUGUAGUCAGGGUAAAGACCUGACUAGCCUACGACGGAUAUGGGUUGUGGGAGCAAUAACCCAGAGAUGAUAUCUGAGACACGAUAUCAGGCCCUACGGGGCGCAGCAGGCGCGAAAACUUCACACUGCGCGAAAGCGCGAUGAGGGAAUCCCAAGUGCUUGCACGUAAGUGUAAGCUGUUUCUAUGUUUAAAAUGCAUAGAGAGUAAGGGCUGGGUAAGACGGGUGCCAGCCGCCGCGGUAAUACCUGCAGCUCAAGUGGUGAUCGCUAUUAUUGGGCCUAAAACGUUCGUAGCCGGUUUAGUAAAUGCCUGGGUAAAUUGUGUAGCUCAACUAUACGAAUUCCGGGUAGACUGCUAAACUUGAGACCGGGAGAGGCUAGAGGUACUCCUGGGGUAGAGGUGAAAUUCUGUAAUCCUAGGGGGACCACCAGUGGCGAAGGCGUCUAGCUAGAACGGGUCUGACGGUGAGGGACGAAGCCCUGGGGCGCGAACCGGAUUAGAUACCCGGGUAGUCCAGGGUGUAAACGCUGCUUGCUUGAUGUUGGUUGGGCUCCGAGCCCAAUCAGUGUCGGAGAGAAGUUGUUAAGCGAGCUGCCUGGGAAGUACGGCCGCAAGACUGAAACUUAAAGGAAUUGGCGGGGGAGCACAGCAACGGGUGGAGCGUGCGGUUUAAUUGGAUUCAACGCCGGGA